UUGGCAAGAGGUGUGAAUGUCUCAUGAAAACAUGAUCUUGACUUUAUUCCACAGAUACAAAAUGAGGACCUUAUGCAGCCAGGAUGAGAAUGUGGGACUCUGGUGUUCCAAUCCAGGAUUCUUCCUGCUGGAGGUGGUGCUACCAUAAUGGAAACUAGACAUCUACCAAGAGCUUGAGGACUGAGGAGCAGCUUUGCUUCACCAGGUGUGCCCUUGAUGAGGUUCUGCAUCCCUACAGGCCUAAAAUGGAUUCACCUGAUCAUGGACUGAAACCUCCAAAACCAUGAGCCAAAGAUAAACCUUUCCUUCUUUGUGUUGA
Molecule: non-coding RNA, 319 nt
Organism: Ictidomys tridecemlineatus (thirteen-lined ground squirrel)
Lineage: Eukaryota; Metazoa; Chordata; Mammalia; Rodentia; Sciuridae
Source: RefSeq, a predicted model, not a curated record